UAUAUAUAUAUAUAUAAUGGCCCUAAUCUUCUUAAUUGCAAAAUAAAUUCAUAAAAUUUUUCUCAUCUACAGGUGAAGAAAUGGUUUUUGACGAUAAAUGGGUUAGAAUGGUGUAUUGUUAGGACAUGGGAGGAAUAUAAUGCAUUUGAGAGAUAUAUGCUUGAGAAGUACGGGGAUGAAAUCACUCAACAUACGGGGGAUGAUGCCGAGUUGUGGGCGCUAAGUCAGGGAGGGAGAAAUGAUCGUAUUUUUGAGAAAGGAUCGUCUAGUCAUCAAUUAAUGAUGACAGGGACAUCACCUUACGGGUUUACUAAGUCCUCCAUUGAGUAUGUACAUUCUCAACUACAGGUACGAGAGUUGCAAAUUCAAAUGGAAAUGGAACGAAAAACACGAGAAGAGAUGCAAACACAAAUAUCCGAACUUAUAAGCCGAUUUAGUAACCAUUUCGGU
This is a non-coding RNA of Lactuca sativa (garden lettuce), 450 nucleotides long. Lineage: Eukaryota; Viridiplantae; Streptophyta; Magnoliopsida; Asterales; Asteraceae. The record is from RefSeq and is a predicted model, not a curated record.